RNAcentral lists this long non-coding RNA (1178 nucleotides) under Bos grunniens (domestic yak). RNAcentral's name for it is "lncRNA (ENSBGRG00000007170.1)". The record is from RNAcentral. Lineage: Eukaryota; Metazoa; Chordata; Mammalia; Artiodactyla; Bovidae.
UUCAGACCAGUGCCCACCUGCCCCUACCUUGGCUACAUCUCCUCCUUCAGCCUGGGGCCCCCAAUAAUGGGUGUCUUUCCCCUCCGCUGGAACAGGGGUGAGGCUGCUCUGUUCUGACUGUUGCCUUGUCCCUCUCAGAAUAGGGGUGCCCAGAGAGUUGUGCCUCUCCAGACCAGGGCCCUCUGCAGACAUGAGUAGGGUCUCCCCAUCAGGAAGCUCCGUGGGAGUCAGAAAUGUGUCUCUCCCUUUACUUUGGGGAUGCUCAGAGUAGAGCCUGUCUCUUCCCUCUCAGUCUGGGGCUCUCCAGGGACAAGGGUUGUGAUUUCCUGCUCAGAUUGGGGCUUUCCUGGGUCAAGUUGUGUCUCCUCCCCUCCAGCCGGGUCUCUCCUGGAUGGGUCUGACUCUUCCUUCAGACUAGGGCACUUGGGCUGGGCACUGUAGCCCCUGCUGCUGCCCCCGCCUCUCCCGCCCUAGCCAGGAGUUCAGUGCCAGGCAAGUAAUUGAAUUCCUGCACGUUAACAAGUCAAUCAUGGAGUCUUAAUGAGUCCUGAGUAAUCUCAGACAUGCGUGUUAAUUAAAUAGCUGUCCUGGUUCUAAUCCGCUGGAAGUUAAUCAUUGGGGAAUUAGGAAGUGUCAGCUAGGGAACUUCAUUAAGGCAGUGAGGGUGGGGCGUGGCCAGGGGAGGGAAGGAGCCAGGGAUCCAGGGGCAGGAGUGCCCUGUCCUGAGUUCUAGGACUGCAGGGGGGUGGGCAUCAGAGGAGUAGGGGUGCAGGGAUCCCACCUCCUUCUCUGGGCAUCAGGGUCAGGAGCCUCCCCAACCUCAGUCCUUGAUACCCUGCUUCGGUCUGAGCCCUCCUUUACCCCUCAGCUUCCAGCCAGGCUUGCCCACCCUGGCCUGCUUCAGUCUCCUGUCUAGAAAAGCUCAGGAGGAGGCAACAUCAUACACAAAGUACACAUAAUAGGGAGAGUGGAGGAGGGCUCUGCAAACAGAGGUUCUCUAGAUCCUGCUGGUGUUUGACCCCCUCCCACCCUGUCUCCAAUACCCUGCACCCUCCUUAGUCCCCCUGGAGGCAGAACUUCUCUGGAGGGCAUCACCUGCUCACCCCCUCAGACUUCCAAUGGGUCUGGCCAAUGGGAGAAUUCUGUUGGGUGGCAGCCUGUUGGUUCCUUUAAUCCUA